Molecule: long non-coding RNA, 351 nt
Filed under: Vombatus ursinus (common wombat)
Lineage: Eukaryota; Metazoa; Chordata; Mammalia; Diprotodontia; Vombatidae
Description: lncRNA (ENSVURG00010016404.1)
Source: RNAcentral
CGGCUGCCCUUGUGCCUCACACACCCCCCUGGCCUUCUCCGUCCGGGCGCUCGCUCCGGGAGCUGAGCCGGCCCCGCCUCAGGAGCAGCAGCGGAAGAUCCAGCUUCCUUUGGUCAAGUACAACUUUCUGCCUUGGUGCUGAGAAUCCUUAAAGAUAGUAAACAGGCACAGCUUCCAGAGAGCCACAGGGAGGCUGAGAGGUGACACAGACCUGAGAGGUCAAGGUCGACAUUCCAGCCAGUGAAGUGGUGGAAGAGAAGCUCAAGAGUGGCUCUCCUGACUCGUAAGUCUGGUGUCCCUUUUCCAACCUCAGGGUAUCUCUCCUCCAGAUAAUCAAGUAGGACAGGAUGU